This 305-nucleotide unclassified non-coding RNA is filed under the name plant metagenome. RNAcentral's name for it is "partial contains 5.8S ribosomal RNA, internal transcribed spacer 2, and large subunit ribosomal RNA". The stretch from base 1 to 105 matches the Rfam family "5.8S ribosomal RNA", at positions 50 to 154 of the family's 154-position model. The record is from RNAcentral.
GAAAUGCGAUAAGUAGUGUGAAUUGCAGAAUUCAGUGAAUCAUCGAAUCUUUGAACGCACAUUGCGCCCUUUGGUAUUCCUUAGGGCUUGCCUGUUCGAGCGUCAUCUAAACCUUCAAGCCCUGCUUGGUGUUGGGUGCCUGUCCCGCCUCCGCGCGCGGACUCACCUCAAAUCCAUUGGCGGCCCCCGCGUCGGCCACGAGCGCAGCAGAAACGCGAACUCGUGAGCCCGUCCGGGCGGCUCCCAGAAGCUACACCCACCCAGUUUGACCUCGGAUCAGGUAGGGAUACCCGCUGAACUUAAGC